Molecule: non-coding RNA, 192 nt
Filed under: Thelohanellus kitauei
Lineage: Eukaryota; Metazoa; Cnidaria; Myxozoa; Bivalvulida; Myxobolidae
Description: Eukaryotic small subunit ribosomal RNA
Rfam family: Eukaryotic small subunit ribosomal RNA
Source: Rfam by way of RNAcentral
UACAUUUACUCAAAAAGAUGAAACUUACCUGCUUCCAACAUCGAUAGGAUUAACAGAUUAAUAGCUCUUUUAUGAUGGGAUGAGUGUAGUGGUGCAUGGCCAUUCUUAGUUCGUGAGGGGAUCUUUCUGAUCAAAUCUAAAAUAGCCGACUGCCUUGCAUGAUGAUUGAGUUGUUCGAAGAAAACCAGGACU